This is a long non-coding RNA of Lycium barbarum (goji berry), 1920 nucleotides long. RefSeq lists it as uncharacterized. The transcript has 2 exons. NCBI's taxonomy places the organism in Eukaryota, Viridiplantae, Streptophyta, Magnoliopsida, Solanales, Solanaceae. The record is from RefSeq and is a predicted model, not a curated record.
AGACGCGUCCGUUAUUUUUUGCUACGUCUCUUCUUCUUGGUUCUUCAACUGCCCUCUUACCUUUUCACUUCUUUAUUAUUCACAACCCACACUGACUGAAGCACAAAAUCAAGAUAAACGAUUACCUUUUUCCUUAGUUUUUCGGGUUUUAUCCCUAUGUCUCCUUUGAUUAUGUGCUAAAUUAUAAAACGAAUAGCCUUAUUUGUUUAGUACACCGUUUCGUCGUCUCUUCUUCUUCAAUUACAAUUGUCAGCCUCUUCUUCCCUUUCUCUUCGUCCUCUAUCUCACUCUCGCCUAAAGUAAAACUCCUUCAACGCCUUCCUCUUCUCCUCUUCUUCACCUUCUGUUUUGGAGUAAAUUUUAUUUUCACUCGCCAGAGAUAAUUUAUCUCUGUUCCCGUUGUUUCUCCCAAUAGGUGAAUCUCUCUUUUUCUUUAGUAUAGUUGUUCCCUUAUGUUUACUUGUUGUUUCAUGUUUCCGUGAUUGUUCAUAUUGUUUUUUACCUUUUAUUUCGCAAAGAAUUGAUUGUUUUUGGGCUUCAUUUUUCACCCUACUCUGUUAAAAUUGAAGGAAAAGAAAAGAUUACCAUGAUGUAUAAGAAGUCAAGUAGUAAAAUCAAAGGUAAAAUAAAAGAUUGACCUCUUCUCAAUCUGCAUAAUAAAUACCGUGGUGUCAUUCGCACCCAACCCCGCGCUUACCUGUUUGUAUGUGUCAAUUAUUUUUCUCUGUCUACUUUUUUUAUUCUGACUUUUUCUUAUAAGAUGUCAAUUGUAAUAGAAGAUUUUGGGUUCUCAUAUAGGAGUUUAGCAGAAACUGGGAAAAACGUUACUUCUUCGUACAUUGAACUAGGAGUUGCUAAAUGUCAUAGACAAGCAUAAGUCCUUGAAGACGGUCUUUGCUCUUCCAGGAAUUGAAAUAGCUAAAAUUCCCUUCAUUUUUCACUAAUCAAGUUUGUGAACCUAUGUCGUUCAGUUGGACAGUUAUCGUGAAAACAAAAUAACUUGAAAAAAAAAAAAGAGAAAGAGCGAAAAAACUGAAGCAGCAGCGUAUUUUAUUUUAUUUUUGGUUGAGAAUAUGACUUGUGAAAAAAAUACCAAAUGUGCAGGUGGUGAAAAAAGAAUAUGUUUUAAAGCUGUAAUAUAAACUUGGUGAUGUGCUAUUCUCAGUUUAUUAAUUCGAUGUCAUUUUUACAUCUUCAUAUGGCAAAUUGUCAGUGUGCAUCGCUUGCCAUGCUCCGAUAUUAUUUAGGGGAAGAGCUGAAAUUUUUUAAAAAGGAGAAGGAUUUAUAUUUGAUUUUUUAUUAUAAGAGUUGAUUUUAGAAAAUUGACAUUACCGUUCUGUCACUUGAAAAUGAAGGUAAGACAAUAUAUGAAACAAAAAAUACACCUACAGGCAAUUAAAGAUAAAUAUUUUUUUCUUGGUCCGAGAUAGGUUCCACGAAAAGUCUGCAAAUUCGAGUUCUCUCACUCUUUCCUAUAAUUAUUGUUAUUAAUCUGUAGUAAUUGGUGCACUACUGGAGAUUCAGGAAAGUUACUCAUCUAGACUCAAACUGUUAUCGCAGUUCUGAUGCAAGUGGAAAAUCACUGGAAACACAGAGAAAAUUAAUAGAUCCCAAUCUCGAGAGAGGGAAAAACUGCCUAAGCUAUUGAUGUUUUUCUUUCAGUUGGGGGAAGAAGAGACACACAUUUGUUCCUCGAAAAAGAAGAGGGUUCUAAAUUUAGCUGAACAAAAUUUGGAAUUUAUAGGCCAUAGUCAUUCAUAAAAAUUUGACGGGUGGCCGUUAAUUUAUUUAUUUUCAUUUUUCUCUAACAGUGCAGUUUUGCGCUUUUGUGGUUGGUGCCAAUUUGCUAAUUGCAAAGGUGUGGUAAUGAUUGUGUAUUUGUAAAGAGUUAGCAAGUGAAAAUUACAUCGGAAAUCCGAA